This 328-nucleotide unclassified non-coding RNA is filed under the name soil metagenome. RNAcentral's name for it is "partial contains 5.8S ribosomal RNA, internal transcribed spacer 2, and large subunit ribosomal RNA". The stretch from base 5 to 119 matches the Rfam family "5.8S ribosomal RNA", at positions 40 to 154 of the family's 154-position model. The record is from RNAcentral.
GAUGAGAACGUAGCGAAAUGCGAUAAGUAGUGUGAAUUGCAGAAUUCAGUGAAUCUUCGAAUCUUUGAACGCACAUUGCGCCCCUUGGUAUCCCGAGGGGCAUGCCUGUUCGAGCGUCAUUUCACCACUCAAGCCUGGCUUGGUGUUGGGCGACGUCCUCUUUGGGGACGCGCCUCGAAACGCUCGGCGGCGUGGCACCGGCUUUAAGCGUAGCAGAAUCUUUCGCUUUGGAAGUCGGGGCCCCGUCUGCCGGAAGACCUGCUCGCAAGGUUGACCUCGGAUCAGGCAGGGAUACCCGCUGAACUUAAGCAUAUCAAUAAGCGGAGGA